UACGGAAGGCAGCAGUGGGGAAUAUUGCACAAUGGGCGCAAGCCUGAUGCAGCCAUGCCGCGUGUAUGAAGAAGGCCUUCGGGUUGUAAAGUACUUUCAGCGGGGAGGAAGGCGAUGUGGUUAAUAACCGCGUCGAUUGACGUUACCCGCAGAAGAAGCACCGGCUAACUCCGUGCCAGCAGCCGCGGUAAUACGGAGGGUGCAAGCGUUAAUCGGAAUUACUGGGCGUAAAGCGCACGCAGGCGGUCUGUUAAGUCAGAUGUGAAAUCCCCGGGCUUAACCUGGGAACUGCAUUUUGAAACUGGCAGGCUUGAGUCUCGUAGAGGGGGUAGAAUUCCAGGUGUAGCGGUGAAUGCGUAGAGAUCUGGAGGAAUACCGGUGGCGAAGGCGGCCCCUGGGACGAAGACUGACGCUCAGGUGCGAAAGCGUGGGGAGCAAACAGGAUUAGGAUACC
This 454-nucleotide ribosomal RNA is filed under the name uncultured bacterium. RNAcentral describes it as "bacterial SSU rRNA". It matches the Rfam family "Bacterial small subunit ribosomal RNA", at positions 340 to 786 of the family's 1533-position model. The record is from RNAcentral.